This 64-nucleotide transfer RNA is filed under the name Orthocoelium streptocoelium. Its description in RNAcentral is "tRNA-Leu". Lineage: Eukaryota; Metazoa; Platyhelminthes; Trematoda; Plagiorchiida; Paramphistomidae. The record is from RNAcentral.
UAGGAGUGCCAGAAGUAUUAUGGAAUUGGUUUAGGACUAAUUGAUGGUGGUAACCCUCUUAGUG